CUGUCACUGUCACUAAUAAAGUACAAUAAUCUGUGAUAAUUAAACUUCAAAUUUUUUAUUUCGAAAACAGGGUAAAAUAUAAAUAAAUGUAGUAUAAAUGGAUUAAGAUGGAUCAAUAUCUCGAAAAAUUAAACAACGAAGAUGAUAUCAAACCUAUUUUUCAAUCGUCACCAACAGUGUCUCUCGGUUUAUCCAAUUUGGAGAGCAGCAAGCAAAAGUGGUCCCCAAGUUUAGAGGAUGAUAGCCGGAAAAGUGCUUUUUUACCUUAUAAAGUUUAUACCUGCAACUCAAUGUUAACCAAUUUACAACGCGGAAACACUAUCACGGAAAACCAUUUUCCGGCGACCACAGUGAGCUUUCAUAUGAAAGCUGGACAAGGUGAACUAACCCUACAAGACGUUUUUAAAGAAAGUGAUGUAAAUGUUAAAGAUUGUGAUAAUUUGACAGCUCUUCAUUGGGCAUCUUUUUAUGGACAAAUUCAUUCAGUACAAUUAUUGAUUGAAAACGGGGCUAGGGUAAAUGAAAUGGGAUCUGAAGAAGAGACUCCUUUGCUUUUGGCUGCUAGUGAGGGUCACCUUGAUGUUGUGAGGUUUUUGAUAGGACAGGGGGCUGAAGUUAACCACGUAGAUCAUAUGUGCAACACAGCUCUAAUGUAUGCCGCUAAAGGAAAUCAUCCUCACACUUGUCAAGAACUCCUACUUAAUGGAAUAAAUUUUUCACUGGAGAAUUUAAAUGGUGAUAAUGCACAUACAAUUGCAGUAGAAAAUAAUAGUACUUUAGGAUGAUGUAGACCAGAAUCGUAAUCGAUGUGGAGAGAUGUUCUCUAAUUUUCGCAUGUGGUUUUACCGUCUCGUUGGAAUUAGUUUAUCUUUCCCAUUUUCUUCUUACCAGCUCAGACCGUUAUUGAAAAUUUCCUAAUUUUGCAACUAGAGUCAAUAAUAGCAGUUGAACCAAGUGGAAGUAGUGCAGUUUUACAGGAACUUUCCAAUUGAAUAUUAUCAUUAUUUGGUUUGGAUACAAAGUUUGUACAGAUUUUACUAUUGGUACCAAAAUUUAUAGUCUAGGGGGGUCAGCGUGUCCUUUUCAAUUCUGAUGGACAAACUCAACGGUUUCUUAUGGAUUUUUGGCUGCUGAUUACUAAUUUCGAGGGUGGAUUUCGAUCCGAGUGACUCAUAAACUAAAAGAGAUAAAAAAUGUUUCAAAUAAAAUUUGGUCCUUAAUAAAAAACAAAGAAAAAAACGUUUACUAAACUUAAAUCCAACAAUUAGAACUCAAGAUAUCGUAAAAUUAGUGCACAUAGCAAAUUGCCAAUUGCAAAAUAAGUAUUUUUAGAAGCUGUAUCGAUCGUAACUCGGCUUCUACGCAUGCAAAUGAGCCUUAGAAGGUCUCAUUUUAAAGCUUAAUUAAUAGGCUUUCAAACAAAGUUCGUUAAAUAACUUUAUCUUAAUUUGUUUUAAAGUUAUACCCGUUUGAAAGUAUAAUUUUAUUAAAAAAAUUGAGCAUUAAUUUGUGUAUAAGGGUUUCAAGCAAAUUUGAGCUAUAAACAUUUAUACUUUAAUUAACAAUAAUGAUAGACGAACUCAAAAGGAACAAUUUGAGCUUAUGAAAAUGUUCGUAAAUUUAUUUUUGGCCAAGAUAUCGAUAUUGUAAUGUAUUUUUCGACGCUUUAUCGAUCGUAACGCGGCUUCUACAUAUGCAAAUGAGCUUUUCACGGUCUCAUUUUAAAGCUUAAUUAAUAGACUUCCAAACAAUGUUUGUCAAAUUACUUUAUCUUCAUUUGUUUUUAAAGUUAUACUCGUUUGAAGUUAUAAUUUUCUUAAAAAAUUUGUACAUUAAUUUGUUUAUAAGGGUUUUUAGUAAAUUUGAGCAAUAAACAUUUAUACUUUAAUUAACAUUAAUAAUAGAAAAACUCAAAAGGAAUAUUUUGAGCUUAGGAAAGCGUUCGUAGGUUUAUUUUUGGCCAAGAUAUCGAUAAUUUAAUAGCACGCACUGAGGCUCAAGACGGCUCACAGUCAUGUAAUAUCACGGUAAAGACACCGAUCGACUGCUCUCGUGUUACACUAUUUUGAUCAGGCAGGAGGCCUUGCCUAUUCUUAAUAUGUCUGUAAAUGUCUACAAAUAUAACAUACUACUGUCAAUUCUGUCUAUAGCCGAUCAUGCGCCUCAGAACGCGCUAUUAAAAUAUCGAUUUUUGACCAAAAAUAAACUUACGAACAUUUUCAUAAGCUCAAAAUAUUCUUAAAGAGCCAGAGCCUUAUAAACAAUUAAAUUGUUUAUAACAAUUUUUUGACCACUCUGAUCGAAAUCCACCCUCGAAAUUCGUAAUCAGCAGCCAAAAAUUUAUAAGAAACCGUUGAGUUUGUCCAUCAGAAUUGAAAAGGACACGGUGACCUCUAUUUGGCGCCUAGACAAUUAUAAAUGCUGAGUGUAUCAUUUGGCUCGAUGUGAUUCAUAUAGAGAAGGUUAUUAGACAUCAAAAUUGAUGGUUAAAAUUUAUUAUUCUUGUAUUACAUGUACAAAGACGAUCAAAGAUUAUAUAUUUGUAAAUAUUUUAUUAAUAAAAUCAAAUUUUAUACCCUUAA
RNAcentral lists this unclassified non-coding RNA (2582 nucleotides) under Diabrotica virgifera virgifera (western corn rootworm). Its description in RNAcentral is "ankyrin repeat family A protein 2-like". Lineage: Eukaryota; Metazoa; Arthropoda; Insecta; Coleoptera; Chrysomelidae. The record is from RNAcentral.